GUGAAUGGCGUCUAAAGGGAGGAGCUUCCGAAACUCAGAGUCCUGUUACUGAACGCUGGAGAUUUUGGGAGUGAAGGAGCAGCUCAAGUCAUUUUCUCUUCGCAGGUUUCUUCGCACAUCUAAAGGACGCACUCUUCGUUCGCCUCACCGCGCAGGAUCACGCUCUCAGGAUUGAAGCAUGGAUGAUGAUUUUGAGCGGCGCAGGGAGCUUAGGAGACAGAAGCGGGAGGAGAUGCGUCUGGAAGCCGAGAGGAUGGCGUAUCGCCGGAAUGAGGAGGAUGAAGAAGAGGCCGCUCGUGAGCGCAGACGAAGAGCGCGGCAGGAGAGAAUGCGCAGUAAGGACAGCGAGGAUGUGGCCUACCAACCCGAGACCCCGGAGCUCAACAACAGCCACAGUGUGACAGUGACAGAGAGCGUAUCCACCUCAGUAGUGACCUCCAGCGGGACGGGAGAAGGGGAUGAUGAGGAACAGGCCCUGCUGGAGCGCCUGGCCAAGAGAGAGGAGCGCAGGCUGAGGAGGAUGAAGGAGGCGCAGGACAGACAGCAGGAGGAGGAGAGCAGCCAACCCUCCCGCUACAGCCUGGAGGAGAGCAGCGUAGGCCUGCGUCGUGGCCGGAGCUACGAGCCAGAGGAGGAGCACAACAGCAAGGAGCAGGAGAAAGAGGAGGUGAAACAGGCAGAAGAAGAGGAGGAGGAGGAGGAGGAAGAGGAGGAGGUCGUUCCUAGAGAGGAGGUGGUGGUGGAGGAAAAACCACGGAGGUCUUAUUUGAGAGAACCGGAAUCCGUUGAGGAAAUGCCAAAAAUAGCUGAUGAGGACAAUAAUGAGCGAGAUGAUGUGCCUUCUUCCGAAGCACAUGAGGUGGUUUUAAAUGAAGACGUAGAUGAUUCUGCAGUGCUUUCGGAGACGGAAAAUGGCACCGCAGAGCUCGCUGCAGGUGUACAGGAGGAAAAGAGUGAGAUAGAGGGAUUGACAGAGAACGGAGUGGAUGAAAUGAGAGAGGCAGAAAACUUUGAGAAAGAUGAGGUUUCAGAAAAUGACGAGUUGUUGAUGGAAGAUGAAGAUCUGAUGAGGAAGAAUAAACAGCCCAAUGGAGGAGUGUGUGAGGACAGCACUCCCAAACACAAGAAAGCUGAGAGGACUUUCAGCCGAGGCAGCUUGCGCUCUCCCGAGGCGCCGGAGACAGACGAGGCGGACAGUGAGGAUGCUCGCUUGGAGGCUGAGAGAAAGCUGGAGGAACUGAAGAGGAGGAGAGAUGAGAUGGAGAGCGAGGAGUUCGAGAGGAUGAGGCAGAAACAGCAGGAGGCCGAGGUGGAGCUGGAGGAGCUGAAGAGGAAGAGGGAGGAAAGGAGGAAGGUGCUGGAAGAGGAGGAGCGGCGGAGGAAGCAGGAGGAGGCCGAGAGGAAAGCCAGAGAGGAGGAGGAAAAGAGGAGGAUGAAGGAGGAGAUUGAGAAGAGAAGAGCAGAGGCGGCUGAGAAGAGGCAGAAAGUGGAGGAUUCGGUGGACGGAGAGACCAAGAAGCCCUUUAAGUGUGUCAGUCCCAGAGGAUCCUCCCUGAAGAUCGGUGAGAGGGCAGAAUUUCUCAACAGAUCAGCACAGAAGAGUUCUGUGAAGGCAUCUCACUCUCCUGUGGUGUCUAAGAUUGAUAACCGAUUAGAGCAGUACACCAGCGCAGUGCAGGGCAACAAAGAGGUCAGGUCUCCCAGAUCAGGAGCCAUAGAUCUUCCCAUGGUGACGGACGGUAUUCGCAACAUCAAGAGCAUGUGGGAGAAGGGGAAUGUCUUCAGCUCUGGUGGGAGCCCAGCAUCCACCAACAAGGAUGCAGCUGGGAUAAAGGUGGGCGUGGCCGGCCGCAUCAACGAUUGGUUGAAUAAAACUCCAGAGACGGGCAAAACAUCAGGAGGAAGACCCGCGGACCUGAAACCAGGCGACGUGACCAGCAAACGCAAUCUAUGGGAAAACAAGGGCUCCUCUGCUACCAAGCCGUCCCCUUGCUAAUUGUCUACAGAUCUGACCACCUUGAGGAGGUCACAAGCAGAGGAGAGACCAAAUCCGUCACCAAUGGAAUGGGCCAUUAACCUUUCAAAGAUGCCAGAGAGGCAGGGACCAAGAGAAUGCACAACAUUCCUUUUUUUUUUUUUUUUUUUAAACUUUUAUUAAUACCAAAAAAAAUACAAGCAUUUUAUACUGCCAGGAAGAUCUAUGUGAGUAGACACAGUAUAAAAGAGAGAAAAAUACAAAAAUAUAUAUAUUUUAUCACUGUAUUCACAGGUCACCGUCUUGCACCAUCAUAACAUAAACGCAAUGCCUUUGCAUGUAACUUCUGUUAGACUGAAAUCUAGGCUGUGGAAACAAGCAAUUUGUUUAGAUUAUACAACAGCAGCAACCAACAUCACAAGAUUCCUUGAAAAGGAGGACGAGGAGUAGCAAUCCGAAUUGUCUUUUCUCAAAUCACGUUAGUUACCCUUCUCACCUGUUAAUUUAUAACUAAAGCAAAGCUUCACCUUGCAUUUCAUUUGUGUUCGCCAGUUUCAGACCGAAUAUGAGCACCCGUAGAGUAGCUGUAUUUUGUACUUUUUGUCGUAACGACACUUUUUUUUUUUUUUUAAAAAUUGUCUUAAUAAUAUAUGUUAGCACAUAGUGUAAGUUUUUGUAAUUAACUAUAUAUUGUACUGCUUGAUACAAAAUGGUCUUUGCUUUUGCUCUCAAUAUUAUUUUAUAUCAAAGCAAGUUUUAAUUCAGUCCAUUAUAGUCAUACCGUUAGCAUUAUUAGCAUUAUCUUUUGGCUUUUUUAUUUUUGGAAACACUGGUCUGAAGGUGUUUGUGACCAUCUUUUUGUAAGUGUUAAUCGGUAUUGUUUUUUUAAACAUUUAAAAAAAUUGAAACUCGAAAGUAAGGGAACGUGCACUUUUUGGCUUAAAUCACAUAUUUGAUGAGUACAUUUCACAAUUUUUGCAUAAAAUGCAAAACCGAACAGAAGGACAAAUUCAUGUUCGUUGUUCAAGUGUUUCAUUUUUCCUGUUGCAAUCAUACUAAAUUGCAACACAGACGCUAGUUGGCAGAACGCUAGUUAAUGUCGUCAUUUAAACAUGUAUCAUUUCUGACGACAAAGAAUAUCCAGUUCUGCCGCCGUAGCUUAUUGCUAAUGUCUCUAAAUGUUCAACGUUCCUGUAUUCUGCUUGUAUGUUUUUUUUUUUUUUUUUUUUUGACAAUCAAGUUUUUUACUAUUUGUUUCAACACUUAUGUUAACACUAUGCAAGUCGCACCACCUUUAAUUGCAAUUACCUUGUUACAAAUAUGAUCGUUUGUAGCCGAUAGUUCCAUACAGAGCAACUGUUUCAACUUGUAUCAUUGUCUCAGUGACCACAAUAAAGAGACCAAUGAAAAACA
Molecule: RNA transcript, 3388 nt
Organism: Labeo rohita (rohu)
Lineage: Eukaryota; Metazoa; Chordata; Actinopteri; Cypriniformes; Cyprinidae
Gene: cald1a
Gene name: caldesmon 1a
Exons: 17
Source: RefSeq, a predicted model, not a curated record